RNAcentral lists this ribosomal RNA (275 nucleotides) under uncultured bacterium. RNAcentral describes it as "partial 16S ribosomal RNA". It matches the Rfam family "Bacterial small subunit ribosomal RNA", at positions 355 to 622 of the family's 1533-position model. The record is from RNAcentral.
UGGGGAAUAUUGGACAAUGGGCGAAAGCCUGAUCCAGCCAUGCCGCGUGUGUGAAGAAGGUCUUCGGAUUGUAAAGCACUUUAAGUUGGGAGGAAGGGCAGUUACCUAAUACGUGAUUGUUUUGACGUUACCGACAGAAUAAGCACCGGCUAACUCUGUGCCAGCAGCCGCGGUAAUACAGAGGGUGCAAGCGUUAAUCGGAAUUACUGGGCGUAAAGCGCGCGUAGGUGGUUAGUUAAGUUGGAUGUGAAAUCCCCGGGCUCAACCUGGGAACU